AUUGGCCAAAGGUCGAGCGGACAGAUGGGAGCUUGCUCCCUGAUGUUAGCGGCGGACGGGUGAGUAACACGUGGGUAACCUGCCUGUAAGACUGGGAUAACUCCGGGAAACCGGGGCUAAUACCGGAUGCUUGUUUGAACCGCAUGGUUCAAACAUAAAAGGUGGCUUCGGCUACCACUUACAGAUGGACCCGCGGCGCAUUAGCUAGUUGGUGAGGUAAUGGCUCACCAAGGCAACGAUGCGUAGCCGACCUGAGAGGGUGAUCGGCCACACUGGGACUGAGACACGGCCCAGACUCCUACGGGAGGCAGCAGUAGGGAAUCUUCCGCAAUGGACGAAAGUCUGACGGAGCAACGCCGCGUGAGUGAUGAAGGUUUUCGGAUCGUAAAGCUCUGUUGUUAGGGAAGAACAAGUACCGUUCGAAUAGUCGGCCGUACCGUGACCGUACCUAACAAGAAAGCAAAGGCUAACUACGUCCCAGCAGCCACGGUAAUACGUAGCUGGCAAGAGUCGUCAGGAAUUAUCGGACAUAAAGGGCCUCGCAGGCGGUCUUCUUAAGUCUGAUGUGAAAGCCCCCUGGCUCAACCGGGGAGGGUCAUAGGAAACUGGGGAACUUGAGUGCAGAAGAGGAGAGUGGAAUUCCACGUGCAGCGGAUGAAAUGCGUAGAGAUGUGGAGGAACACCAGUGGCGAAGGCGACUCUCUGGUCUGUAACUGACGCUGAGGAGCGAAAGCGUGGGGAGCGAACACGAUUACAUACCCUGGUAGUCCACGCCGUAAACAAUGAGUGCUAACUGUUAGGGGGUUUCCGCCCCCUUACUGCUGCAGCUAACGCAAUUAAGCAAUCAGCCCGGCGGAGUACGGACGCAAGGACUGAAACUCAAAGGAAUUAGACAGGGGCCCGCACAAGCAGUGGAGCAUGUAGUUUAAGUUAGAAUGCAACGCCAACAACCAUAAACCAGGGCGUGACAUCCUCCUGAUCAAUCCUAGAGAUAGGACGUCCCCUUCGGGGGCAGAGUGACAGGUGGUGCAUGGUUGUCGUCAGCUCGUGUCGUGAGAUGUUGGGUUAAGUCCCGCAACGAGCGCAACCCUUGAUCUUAGUUGCCAGCAUUCAGUUGGGCACUCUAAGGUGACUGCCGGUGACAAACCGGAGGAAGGUGGGGAUGACGUCAAAUCAUCAUGCCCCUUAUGACCUGGGCUACACACGUGCUACAAUGGACAGAACAAAGGGCAGCGAAACCGCGAGGUUAAGCCAAUCCCACAAAUCUGUUCUCAGUUCGGAUCGCAGUCUGCAACUCGACUGCGUGAAGCUGGAAUCGCUAGUAAUCGCGGAUCAGCAUGCCGCGGUGAAUACGUUCCCGGGCCUUGUACACACCGCCCGUCACACCACGAGAGUUUGUAACACCCGAAGUCGGUGAGGUAACCUUUUUUAGGAAGCCCAAGGCC
This 1445-nucleotide ribosomal RNA is filed under the name Bacillus amyloliquefaciens. RNAcentral's name for it is "bacterial SSU rRNA". It matches the Rfam family "Bacterial small subunit ribosomal RNA". The record is from RNAcentral. Lineage: Bacteria; Bacillati; Bacillota; Bacilli; Caryophanales; Bacillaceae.